RNAcentral lists this ribosomal RNA (767 nucleotides) under bacterium BZM13. RNAcentral describes it as "partial 16S ribosomal RNA". The record is from RNAcentral.
GGCUUACCAUGCUAGCCCGAGCGCCCUUUAGGGGGAGCGGUUCCACGGGUGCAGUAACGCGUGGGAAAUCUACCUUUUGCUACGGAAAUAACGCAGGGCAAACUUGUGCCUAAUACCGUGAUGCUGCUCCUCUCGCGGAGAAAGAUUUAUCGCGCCAAGAAGCAUGUAGCCGCGUCGGUUGGUAUUCAGCCUAGCUUGGUGCCGGAUAAAAGGGCCUUACCCAAGGGCGACGCAUCCCAUAGUCCUGGGUCCUGCAAGCAGGCAAUGCAUCCAAGCCUCCACUAUCUGCGGGACUUGGAAGAAACUACCGGGCUCCCCAAAAACCUCCCUUAACGCGCGCAAGGGCCAGUCCCAAGUCUGGGCGGGGCAAAUCUAUCUGGGCCACCAAAAUGGGGGCCCCGGUCCACAAGCCCCCCUGGGCAUUCUCCUAGGCCCCAAAUUGCCCCCGGCCCGUUGGCAAGGUUGGCCAAUUGGCAAAACGGGCCCCCCCUUUCAAGAGGCGGACUCAUUGCUACAGAAACAUGGCCUCUUCCCUUUUUUUUCCACCCCCCGGGGCAAGACAAAAGGUAAUCAAUACUCGGUCACCCGGGGUUUCAACUCCCCCCUGGGGGAAAGCGAAAAGCGAAGAAAGCCCCUCCCCCCGGCCCCCCUUUACAAACCUCUUUUGCCCCCUGGGGCCCCCCGAAGGACCCCAAGGCCCCCCGGCUCGGCGUGCCUUAAUUCAUUUACCCCCUCAAAAGGGGGCGGGGGGGCUCCCUUUAAGCCCC